This 253-nucleotide ribosomal RNA is filed under the name uncultured bacterium. RNAcentral's name for it is "partial 16S ribosomal RNA". It matches the Rfam family "Bacterial small subunit ribosomal RNA", at positions 524 to 776 of the family's 1533-position model. The record is from RNAcentral.
UACAGAGGUCCCAAGCGUUGUUCGGAUUCACUGGGCGUAAAGGGUGCGUAGGUGGUCGGGUAAGUCUGAUGUGAAAUCUCCGAGCUUAACUCGGAAAUGGCAUUGGAUACUAUUCGGCUGGAGGUUUGGAGGGGGGACUGGAAUUCUCGGUGUAGCAGUGAAAUGCGUAGAGAUCGGCAGGAACACCCAGGGGGAAACCAGCCGACUGGGCAUCUGCUGACGCUGAGGUGCGAGAGCGUGGGGAGCGAACCGG